This 253-nucleotide ribosomal RNA is filed under the name uncultured bacterium. RNAcentral describes it as "partial 16S ribosomal RNA". It matches the Rfam family "Bacterial small subunit ribosomal RNA", at positions 524 to 776 of the family's 1533-position model. The record is from RNAcentral.
UACAGAGGUGGCAAGCGUUGUUCGGAAUUACUGGGCGUAAAGGGCGCGUAGGCGGCCUUCUAAGUCAGACGUGAAAUCCCCCGGCUUAACCUGGGAACUGCGUCUGAUACUGGGAGGCUAGAGUAUGGGAGAGGGAUGUAGAAUUCCAGGUGUAGCGGUGAAAUGCGUAGAGAUCCGGAAGAACACCGGUGGCGAAGGCGGCCUGCUGGGACAUGGCUGACGCUGAGGCGCGACAGCGUGGGGAGCAAACAGG